Molecule: ribosomal RNA, 467 nt
Filed under: uncultured bacterium
Lineage: Bacteria
Description: bacterial SSU rRNA
Rfam family: Bacterial small subunit ribosomal RNA
Source: RNAcentral
UAAGGAAUAUUGGACAAUGGACGAAAGUCUGAUCCAGCCAUCCCGCGUGCAGGAUGAAUGCCCUAUGGGUUGUAAACUGCUUUUGGAAGGGAAGAAGCGCCUCGAUUUAUCGGGGCCUGACGGUACCUUCAGAAUAAGCACCGGCUAACUCCGUGCCAGCAGCCGCGGUAAUACGGAGGGUGCAAGCGUUAUCCGGAAUCACUGGGUUUAAAGGGUGCGUAGGCGGCGCAAUAAGUCAGAGGUGAAAGCCUGCAGCUCAACUGUAGAAUUGCCUUUGAUACUGCUGCGCUUGAAUCAGGUUGAGGUUGGCGGAAUGUGGCAUGUAGCGGUGAAAUGCAUAGAUAUGCCAUAGAACACCAAUUGCGAAGGCAGCUGACUGGACCUGUAUUGACGCUGAGGCACGAAAGCGUGGGGAGCAAACAGGAUUAGAUACCCUUGUAGUCCCUGAGCGGGCUGGCAAGGCGCAU